This 264-nucleotide ribosomal RNA is filed under the name uncultured bacterium. RNAcentral's name for it is "partial 16S ribosomal RNA". It matches the Rfam family "Bacterial small subunit ribosomal RNA", at positions 512 to 775 of the family's 1533-position model. The record is from RNAcentral.
CAGCCGCGGUAAUACGGAGGAUCCGAGCGUUAUCCGGAUUUAUUGGGUUUAAAGGGAGCGUAGACGGCAAAGCAAGUCUGAAGUGAAAGCCCGGGGCUCAACCCCGGGACUGCUUUGGAAACUGUUCUGCUAGAGUGCUGGAGAGGUAAGCGGAAUUCCUAGUGUAGCGGUGAAAUGCGUAGAUAUUAGGAGGAACACCAGUGGCGAAGGCGGCUUACUGGACAGUAACUGACGUUGAGGCUCGAAAGCGUGGGGAGCAAACAG